This 171-nucleotide ribosomal RNA is filed under the name uncultured bacterium. RNAcentral describes it as "partial 16S ribosomal RNA". It matches the Rfam family "Bacterial small subunit ribosomal RNA", at positions 1330 to 1500 of the family's 1533-position model. The record is from RNAcentral.
AAUCGCUAGUAAUCGCAGAUCAGAAUGCUGCGGUGAAUACGUUCCCGGGUCUUGUACACACCGCCCGUCACACCAUGGGAGUUGGAAAUGCCCGAAGCCAGUGACCCAACCGUAAGGAGGGAGCUGUCGAAGGUGGAGCCGAUGACUGGGGUGAAGUCGUAACAAGGUAGC